UACAUAACCAUCACACCCAUCACUUUUAAUUUUGAAGUUUUCAUUUCGGUUAUAUCAUCAAAGAUGUCUAAAGCUUCCGUUCUUGCUAUCUUCAUGGUCGUCCUUGUUCUAGGACUGGUGAUAAAGGAGACGCAAGGACAAGAACUGUGUCAUGAAUAUUUUCAGUUAACCGCACCAUGUGAAAAACAACAGUGUAUCGAUAUGUGUAGUUCGAAGUACAAGACUGGAAAAGGCGUUUGCGGGCCAGCGGUCCAUCAAUGCUUCUGCACUUUUAGUUGCACAGUUUAAUUUUUAUGUUUCUCUCUAUAAACAAUUCUCAAUUCUAAUAAAAAAAUAUAUAUAUA
Long non-coding RNA from Arabidopsis lyrata subsp. lyrata, 344 nucleotides. RefSeq lists it as uncharacterized. The record is from RefSeq and is a predicted model, not a curated record. NCBI's taxonomy places the organism in Eukaryota, Viridiplantae, Streptophyta, Magnoliopsida, Brassicales, Brassicaceae. The transcript has 2 exons.